GACGAACGCUGGCGGCGUGCCUAAUACAUGCAAGUAGAACGCUGAGGGAGGAGCUUUCUUCUCUGGAUGAGUUGCGAACGGGUGAGUAACGCGUAGGUAACCUGCCUGGUAGCGGGGGAUAACUAUUGGAAACGAUAGCUAAUACCGCAUAAGAGUUGAUGUUGCAUGACGUUUGCUUAAAAGGUGCAGUUGCAUCACUACCAGAUGGUGCUGCGUUGGAUUAGCUAGUUGGUGGGGUAACGGCUCACCAAGGCGACGAUACAGAGCCGACCUGAGAAGGGGGAUCGCCACACUGGGACUGGGACACGGCCCAGGCUCCCUAGGGGGGGAGCAGUAAGGAAACUUCGGGAAUGGGCGGAAGGCUGACCGAGCAACGCCGCGGGAGGGAAGAAGGUUGUCGGAUCCGAAAGCUCUGUUUUAAGGGAAGAACCAGUGUGAGAGUGGAAAGUUCACACUGUGACGGUAUCUUACCAGAAAGCGACGGCUAACUACGUG
This 495-nucleotide ribosomal RNA is filed under the name uncultured bacterium. Its description in RNAcentral is "partial 16S ribosomal RNA". It matches the Rfam family "Bacterial small subunit ribosomal RNA", at positions 28 to 507 of the family's 1533-position model. The record is from RNAcentral.